GAUGAACGCUGGCGGCGUGCCUAAUACAUGCAAGUCGAGCGAACAGAUGAGGAGCUUGCUCCUCUGACGUUAGCGGCGGACGGGUGAGUAACACGUGGAUAACCUACCUAUAAGACUGGGAUAACUUCGGGAAACCGGAGCUAAUACCGGAUAAUAUAUUGAACCGCAUGGUUCAAUAGUGAAAGACGGUUUUGCUGUCACUUAUAGAUGGAUCCGCGCCGCAUUAGCUAGUUGGUAAGGUAACGGCUUACCAAGGCAACGAUGCGUAGCCGACCUGAGAGGGUGAUCGGACACACUGGAACUGAGACACGGUCCAGACUCCUACGGGAGGCAGCAAUAGGGAAUCUUCCGCAAUGGGCGAAAGCCUGACGGAGCAACGCCGCGGGAGUGAUGAAGGUCUUAGGAUCGUAAAACUCUGUUAUUAGGGAAGAACAAAUGUGUAAGUAACUAUGCACGUCUUGACGGUACCUAAUCAGAAAGCCACGGCUAACUACGUG
Molecule: ribosomal RNA, 497 nt
Filed under: uncultured bacterium
Lineage: Bacteria
Description: partial 16S ribosomal RNA
Rfam family: Bacterial small subunit ribosomal RNA
Source: RNAcentral